CCGAGACUUUGCGGCACGAAGCUAACGUGGAGUUCACGGCUCUUAUGUAGCGGGUCGGUGGAAUAGAGAAGGAGCAGCUGAGGGCCGUCUGCUCGCGGAGGGCGAAGCCUUAGCGCCGCCUAACAACAGCCCACCUCAGAGAAGAGGGGCGGGGCGAGAGGAAAAUCUCUUUCAAAAUCCCACUCGACGCCUCGAGGCCGACGUUGACAACUUGUCAAACGGUAAACCAGCUCUGAUUCAAGGAUGAAGACAACACGCUCCAACUGCAGCCUGCUGCUGCUGCUGCUGCUGCUGCUGCUUACUCUUCAAGGGAUAUGUGAUGUUAAGAGGAUGGAUGCUCAGCCUUUUUUGCUUCGCCGUCCUUCCACUGAACCGGCGUGCCUUGGGGUGAUCAUCCUUAUUUUGUUGCAUUGGCUUAUUACAAUGCCAGUAGUCUUUUUUGUUUUUUGCAUUUAACCACGGGGGCCUUUGCCUUGUGAUGUGAGAACGAGACGCUCCACAGGGGGUGUAUCACACAGUGGCCUCUAACAUAUUCCCCCAAAAAAUGCCUUCUUGGAAAAAAAAUUAAAAGUAUUGAAAUGA
This is a long non-coding RNA of Syngnathus typhle (broad-nosed pipefish), 582 nucleotides long. RefSeq lists it as uncharacterized. The record is from RefSeq and is a predicted model, not a curated record. The transcript is spliced from 3 exons. Lineage: Eukaryota; Metazoa; Chordata; Actinopteri; Syngnathiformes; Syngnathidae.